UAUCCGGACUUGAUUCGGGCUCGGCCCGAUCCUCCCA
RNAcentral lists this ribosomal RNA (37 nucleotides) under Botryosphaeria dothidea. RNAcentral's name for it is "partial 18S ribosomal RNA". Lineage: Eukaryota; Fungi; Ascomycota; Dothideomycetes; Botryosphaeriales; Botryosphaeriaceae. The record is from RNAcentral.